RNAcentral lists this ribosomal RNA (530 nucleotides) under uncultured bacterium. RNAcentral describes it as "bacterial SSU rRNA". It matches the Rfam family "Bacterial small subunit ribosomal RNA", at positions 355 to 896 of the family's 1533-position model. The record is from RNAcentral.
UGAGGAAUUUUCUGCAAUGGGCGAAAGCCUGACAGAGCAAUACCGCGUGAGGGAUGAAGACUUACUGAGUUGUAAACCUCGGUACCUUAAGGAAGAAGAUCUGACGGUACUUAAGGUGGAAAGCAUCGGCUAACUCCGUGCCAGCAGCCGCGGUAAGACGGGGGAUGCAAGUGUUAUCCGGAUUUACUGGGCGUAAAGCGUCUGCAGGUGGUUUCUUAAGUCUACUGUUAAAUCUUGAGGCUCAACCUCAAAUCUGCAGUAGAAACUAGGAGACUUGAGUAUAGUAGGGGUAGAGGGAAUUUCCAGUGGAGCGGUGAAAUGCGUAGAUAUUGGAAAGAACACCGAUGGCGAAGGCACUCUACUGGGCUAUUACUGACACUCAGAGACGAAAGCUAGGGGAGCAAAUGGGAUUAGAUACCCCAGUAGUCCUAGCCGUAAACGAUGGAUACUCGAUGUUGGACGUAUCGACCCGUUCAGUAUCUUAGCUAACGCGUUAAGUAUCCCGCCUGGGGAGUACGCUCGCAAGAGUG